GCGAAAUUAAACGUCCAGUGCAGCCGAUUCAAACUUCCAGUCAAUAAAGAGUAAAUUUCCCACGGAAGUUUAAGACAAGAAAAUGUAAACCGUUUGGCCCCAACAAAGUGAAUGUCUUGAAAAGAAAUGAAUUUCUUGGUAUUACCAAGUGAGACAUUACAAGUGGACUUCAGGUCAGGCAUUUGUCGGGUUUUUUUCGGGAUUUUUUUGCGUCCUUUUUUCACAUAGUGAAUUUCUUAUUUUGAUUUUUAAUGUAGUGAGCUGCUUUAGACUGAGGAGUGAACUUCUGUUGGCAGUGAAAUAACAGAAUUUUGAGACCAAAUAAUAUCAACAUGUAGUGAACCAUGGAAGAACAUUCCUUGUGGAUAUUCAGAAAAAAAUGUUUGGUGCUACUUGAGGCAAGAACAUACCUCUCAUGCUGAUCUAACGAUAGACUAAAUCUAAUCACACCAAAGCAGGAAAAAGAUCGGAUGUGGACUUCCGCAUGACUCCCGUCACUACGAGGAGGCUUCGCGGCACAUGAUCACUUUUGAGAGAUGGACGUGCGCUGUCACGGGCUUUUGAAAUAUUUUGCUGGAAUUAUGGAAACAAAAUGCAUGUUAUAUUUCACAUGUAGAAAAAAAGAUAGCACGGGCAUAAUCGAGUAAUAAUUUAAGUCCACUUCACUUACAUUGUAAAUUGUUAACAAAAGGCAAUUUGACAAUGCAUACAUAUAGAGCGAUGAUCCAACUAAAAAUCUAUUACAAAUUAAUAUCUAUUUGAUGCGUUUAAGAAAUUCUCGCACAAUAUUAGCAAUGUUGUCUUUAGUUUCAUUUGCACAAUAUUUGAGCAAGUAUAAUAAAAAUGUCUUCCUCACCGGCCUUCGGGUCCGUCCACUUUCAUGCCAACCACGGUGGCCAACCUUGACCCAGGCUUCGACUUCUUUGCUUGCGCGAUGGCGGACGCCUCGCUUACUCGAAAACACCAUGAUGGACACCAUCCACCCUACCUUGCCUACCGGCAGCACUUUUCUUCCGGCACGGGCUCGCCGACCACCUCUCUCUCAGGAUCCUCUCCACAACUACACGGUGGCCGGAGCCAACCGUCCGCCAUGACUGCUCCACCACCACCCCGAGGCUCGACAUGAGUCAACUUUAAUCGUGUCAAACAUACAUUGUUUGGAUCCUCAUGCACAUUAAGCAACAUUCUUGAUUUUUUCUGCCUAUAAACCACUAUUAUUCUUCGUCUUUGUUCUCCUGCUCCUCUUCACUUACUAUCUCUACCGUCCCUAUCCAAGCCAGCCGCAAUCAUCAAUGUCCCAUCCGGCUCAAAAUCCCCAAACCUUCUACACCCAUACUAUGAAUUUUAAGGGACCUUUUGCCAUUAUUUUAUCCUUCAAAGUCUACAAACUAUAAUAUCAAUGUAGAAGUAAUUAGUGUAAACUCCUUUAUGCCCGCUCAUGGCCACUACGACCACAACUCUGUCGUCUCACCUACAUGAUGUGUGUCCACUCCCACAAUUUCCCCCUUACUCUGGCGAGGCCUCCAUUACUUUUGAAUAUUUUGUUCGGAUUAUUUGCCAUCAAGGAGAAAUUAGCAUAUUGCGCAUGAACAUAUGUGAUAAAAGUUCCUGCGAUUUGACACUACAGAGGUAGAGCAACAUGAAAAUAAAAGAGCAUGCUUCUAAUCUUCAAACUUCUUAGUUUAAAAAAAUGGCGAUAACCUUACAACAUUUUCCAGACUCUUGUCCAUACUGAAAAUGGUUCAUGCAUUAAGGAACACCACACAAAGUAUGGAAUCCAAAAAAACUAACAACAAGCGACAGUGACAUGGAUGGCUACCUUAUUGCUUUGGAAGUGGAUGGCAUGAGCCGUCGCUUAGAUGCACGAAACAGUCCCGACCAUGUACAGCUAGCCAAGAAACGUUGGGUCAAAACAAGGAGUUGGUACCUUGAGCAACGACGCCAUCGCGUUGACAUUUGCCCAACCCAACUGCUCAUGGCCAUCCUCGGCCACCACCUAUCCACCUGGACACACUCCUCUAGACCCAGGCGUUCUGAACGGCAUCCUCCCUGCUUCCCCAGCAUGAUGGCCGACUACCGUAACUUCUCUAGAGUGAAUCCUUCCAAAGGCGCUGCCGACAACAUCAUCCCUGUGGUGAUGCGUCUUCCUUCUUGUGCCUUUUGCUCCAUUGACCUCCUUCCUAUGAAAUUUCGGUAACAAGGUACAUUUCAGUAAUCAGUAAAAAAAUGCAGAUUUUAGUACAAGAGAAAUGAGCGUCUUGACAAAGGUUUAGUAGAAAUCAGAUUUCCGUACAACAAGAUAUUUUAGUACCUACUAAAAAGAAUAGUACAAGGGCAAUCAUCCGAACAAUAUCAUCAUAAGUAUGAACUAAACCUUUAGUCGCAGCAGGUACCUACUAAAUAGGAAGUGGAUGAUAUUCAUAUUACCCAUGUCAUCUCAAUAUCAUCAUAUGUUUAUUGUAGAAAAUCAUAAGCAUCAACACCACUACCUGGAAGACAUAUCUCCUAGCUUCUUUAUGAUUCAGAAUUCAACCCCAUGGAAGCUAAUAUGAAUAUCAUCUCAAGGAUCUAGAUAAAAUACCUGGAACAAAACUCAAUGAAGAACCAUAACAUCGAUCGAAACUAAACAUGAAAAUUUUGAACUCGCUGACUUUAUAUCAGUCUAGUAGUAAUAGUAGUACAAUCGCUGGUAGAAAAUGCAAUUCUCAACGUGCAUAUAGAUAUGCUAUUAUCUUGCUGCUAGAAAAUGUAGCGCUCAAGGUACAUAUAGAUAUGCCAUUGUCUUGCUGUGAAAUAGACUGCUUGGUUUGUUAGCUAGAUUAGGAAACCUAAGCUUUCCAACAAUUCCAAUCUGGAAGCACAAUCAGACCUCAUAGCCUUAAAGAUAAAUGAAAAGCAAUCAAACCAUUGGCGAGAACUUCUAAUUACGGCUCCGAGAGAACUCUAAUCCAUUUGUAAUUUGCCUAGAAAUAAAAUCAAUCAAACUGUAAUUUGCCUAGAAACAUGACCUCAAUGGCAUGCAUACCAUCACCUUUCAUAUCUUUUGUGGCAUUAAAUGAUUGUUGCAUUGUCUACGGAUGAGCCAAAAUUGCUAUGCCCCCAGUUCUACAAAUUAGAUGCACAAUAGAUUCCCCAUUCAGCCUAAUACCGCUGCAAAUGAACAAUAGAAAUCCACAUUAGUAAAUACAUCACGUCCCUGGUUAAGUAGUUAAUUUCAAGCCCAAAAAAUUAACACACUCCUGGCCAACAAUGUGCACGGUUAACCAUGAGCUACCGCAUCCUUGCCAAGUGUCCUCGUCCCACUCUUCCACUUGGCGUGAGGCCUCAACGGGACCUGCAUGAUCUAUCCAUCAGCGCAUUGACAGGAUUGUUACCAAAAUUCUUGUUCCUGUGAUCAAGCGGGAGGAGUACCGUGUAAAAUUCUGGCAUCCUG
This 3433-nucleotide long non-coding RNA is filed under the name Triticum aestivum (bread wheat). Its description in RNAcentral is "long non-coding RNA (TAES_LNC016344)". Lineage: Eukaryota; Viridiplantae; Streptophyta; Magnoliopsida; Poales; Poaceae. The record is from RNAcentral.